GGCCGGAUCAGCCUGAAGGCGCCCGAUCUCGUCUGAUCUCGGAAGCUAAGCAGGGUCGGGCCUGGUUAGUAUCUUGGAUGGGAGACCACCUGGGAAUCCCGGGUGCUCGAGGCU
RNAcentral lists this ribosomal RNA (114 nucleotides) under Bison bison bison. Lineage: Eukaryota; Metazoa; Chordata; Mammalia; Artiodactyla; Bovidae. The record is from RNAcentral.